AUUAUAGUGGAUUAUAGUGGACUAUAGUGGUGUAUAACGGUGGAUUAUAGUGGAUUAUAGUGGUGUAUAACGGUGGAUUAUAGUGGAUUAUAGUGGUGUAUAACAGUGGAUUAUAGUGGAUUAUAGUGGAUUAUAGUGGUGAGUAACAGUGGAUUAUAGUGGAUUAUAGUGGUGUAUAACAGUGGAUAAUAGUGGUGUAUAACAGUGGAUAAUAGUGGAUUAUAGUGGAUUAUAGUGGAUUAUAGUGGAUUAUAGUGGAUUAUAGUGGUGAGUAACAGUGGAUUAUAGUGGAUAAUAGUGGUGUAUAACAGUGGAUUAUAGUGGAUUAUAGUGGUGUAUAACAGUGGAUUAUAGUGGAUUAUAGUGGUGUAUAACAGUGGAUUAUAGUGGAUUAUAGUGGUGUAUAACAGUGGAUUAUAGUGGUGUAUAACAGUGGAUUAUAGUGCAUUAUAGUGGUGUAUAACAGUGGAUUAUAGUGGUGUAUAACAGUGGAUUAUAGUGGAUUAUAGUGGUGUAUAACAGUGGAUUAUAGUGGAUUAUAGUGGUGUAUAACAGUGGAUUAUAGUGGAUUAUAGUGGAUUAUAGUGGACUAUAGUGGUGUAUAACGGUGGAUUAUAGUGGAUUAUAGUGGUGUAUAACAGUGGAUUAUAGUGGAUUAUAGUGGUGUAUAACAGUGGAUUAUAGUGGAUUAUAGUGGAUGAUUUGGAAGAUCUAUUAGCAUCCAGUCCCUUUAGACACAGAAUGCUACAGCGUGAUAGACAGGUAGAAUGCUACAGCGUGAUAGACAGGCAGAAAGCUACAGCGUGAUAGAUAGAAUGCUACAGCGUGAUAGACAGGCAGAAUGCUACAGCGUGAUAGACAGGCAGAAUGCUACAGCGUGAUAGAUAGAAUGCUACAGCGUGAUAGACAGGCAGAAUGCUACAGCGUGAUAGACAGGCAGAAUGCUACAGCGUGAUAGACAGGCAGAAUGCUACAGCGUGAUAGACAAGCAGAAUGCUACAGCGUGAUAGACAAGCAGAAUGCUACAGCGUGAUAGAUAGGCAGAAUGCUACAGCGUGAUAGAUAGAAUGCUACAGCGUGAUAGACAGGCAGAAUGCUACAGCGUGAUAGAUAGGCAGAAUGCUACAGCGUGAUAGAUAGGCAGAAUGCUACAGCGUGAUAGACAGGCAGAAUGCUACAGCGUGAUAGACAGGCAGAAUGCUACAGCGUGAUAGAUAGAAUGCUACAGCGUGAUAGACAGGCAGAAUGCUACAGCGUGAUAGACAGGCAGAAUGCUACAGCGUGAUAGACAGGCAGAAUGCUACAGCGUGGUAGACAGGCAGAAUGCUACAGCGUGGUAGACAGGCAGAAUGCUACAGCGUGGUAGAUAGAAUGCUACAGCGUGAUAGACAGGCAGAAUGCUACAGCGUGAUAGACAGGCAGAAUGCUACAGCGUGAUAGACAGGCAGAAUGCUACAGUGUGGUAGACAGGCAGAAUGCUACAGCGUGGUAGACAGGCAGAAUGCUACAGCGUGGUAGACAGGCAGAAUGCUACAGCGUGGUAGACAGGCAGAAUGCUACAGCGUGAUAGAUAGACAGGCAGAAUGCUACAGCGUGAUAGAUAGACAGGCAGAAUGCUACAGCGUGAUAGAUAGGCAGAAUGCUACAGCAUGGUAGAUAGAAUGCUACAGCGUGAUAGAUAGACAGGCAGAAUGCUACAGCGUGAUAGACAGGCAGAAUGGUACAGCGUGAUAGACAGGCAGAAUGCUACAGUGUGGUAGACAGGCAGAAUGCUACAGCGUGAUAGAUAGACAGGCAGAAUGCUACAGCGUGAUAGAUAGGCAGAAUGCUACAGCAUGGUAGAUAGAAUGCUACAGCGUGAUAGAUAGACAGGCAGAAUGCUACAGCGUGGUAGAUAGGCAGAAUGCUACAGCGUGAUAGACAGGCAGAAUGCUACAGCGUGGUAGACAGGCAGAAUGCUACAGCGUGAUAGACAGGCAGAAUGCUACAGCGUGAUAGAUAGGCAGAAUGCUACAGCGUGAUAGACAGGCAGAAUGCUACAGCGUGAUAGAUAGAUAGGCAGAAUGCUACAGCGUGAUAGAUAGGCAGAAUGCUACAGCGUGAUAGAUAGAUAGGCAGAAUGCUACAGCGUGAUAGAUAGAUAGGCAGAAUGCUACAGCGUGAUAGAUAGGCAGAAUGCUACAGCGUGAUAGAUAGAUAGGCAGAAUGCUACAGCGUGAUAGAUAGAUAGGCAGAAUGCAGAUGAGGAGUUUCGGCAAUGGUUCGGGUUCCAUUUUAAAGACGUGAAGGAAUCCCUGAAAGGGUGUAAAUUUAGAGGAUAUCGUUCUAGUGCAGUACUUGGAUGAUUUGUUUUUAGCCUCAAAAGACCAUGAUACUUACAUACGUGGCCUCACCACACCGGUUAACUAACUAUUUGGCAAAGCAGGACCAUGAAGCGUCGUAUGAAAAAAGGCCAAUUGGCAAACAGGAGGAAAUGUAUUAGGUGGUCUUGAUUUCUAAAGGCAUGACAAACAUUACUAGCACCACACAUCAACACCAUUCGUGCUCUGGCAUGACCAAACACUCCUCGAACGCUCAGACAAACCCUGGGGGGGGUUUAAUUUAAUGAGAAACCUUAAUCUGUCUUAUUCUGAAAUAGCUGAACCUCUUACAGAAUUGACGAAAAGGGAGGAGGGUUCCCCUUGAGAGAAAAGAGCGGAGUCAAGAUUGUGAGGAAGCGUUUUUGAAGAGUUAAGGAAACCGUUGUGUCAAGCGCAUGAACUGGAGUUUCCUUUUAAAAUGUUUGUGAAUGAACAACUGUUCAUUCACCUGUUCCUUCAGUUAAUCAUUUAUUAAUGUGAUGCAUUUCUUCAUCUAUUUGUUGAUGAAUUCCUUUCUGUGUUCUUCAGCUUCAUGUUAUCCUCCUCCAUACGGUGAUACCUUGGAGAAUACUGCCUCCUGGUGCUACAACAGGAGAAGUGUUGAAUGAUAAAAGCAGAGGCUUGGAACUGACAUGAAUACUGUACAAUGAUGUAUAAUGACCCUACAUGACUGACAGGGGGAGCUGUUUUGAUGCCAUGACCCUACAUGACUGACAGGGGGAGCUGUUUUGAUGCCAUGACCCUACAUGACUGACAGGGGGAGCUGUUUUGAUGCCAUGAACCUACAUUUAAAAAAUAUAUAUAUAUAUAUUUCACCUUUAUUUAACCAGGUAGGCAAGUUGAGAACAAGUUCUCAUUUACAAUUGCGACCUGGCCAAGAUAAAGCAAAGCAGUUUGACACAAACAACAACACAGAGUUACACAUGGAGUAAAACAAACAUACAGUCAAUAAUAUAUUAGAAAAAUAAGUCUAUAUACAAAGUGAGCAAAUGAGGUGAGGUAAGGGAGGUAAAGGAAAAAAAAGCCAUGGUGGCGAAGUAAAUACAAUAUAGCAACUAAAAAACACUGGAAUGGUAGAUUUGCAGUGGAAGAAAGUGCAAAGUAGAAAUAGAAAUAAUGGGGUGCAAAGGCAAAAUAAAUAAAUACAGUAGGGGAAGUGGUAGUUGUUUGGGCUAAAUUAUAGAUGGGCUAUGUACAGGUGCAGUAAUCUGUGAGCUGCUCUGACAGCUGGUGCUUAAAGCUAGUGAGGGAGAUAAGUAUUUCCAGUUUUAGAGAUUUUUGUAGUUCGUUCCAGUCAUUGGCAGCAGAGAACUGGAAGGAGAGGCGGCCGAAGGAGGAAUUGGCUUUGGGGGUGACCAGAGAGAUAUACCUGCUGGAGCGCGUGCUACGAGUGGGUGCUGCUAUGGUGACCAGUGAGCUGAGAUAAGGCGGAGCUUUACCUAGCAAAGACUUGUAGACGACCUGGAGCCAGUGGGAUUGGCGACGAGUAUGAAGCGAGGGCCAGCCAACGAGAGGGUACAGGUCGCAGUGGUGGGUAGUAUAUGGGGCUUUGGUGACAAAACGGAUGGCACUGUGAUAGACUGCAUCCAAUUUAUUGAGUAGGGUAUUGGAGGCUAUUUUGUAAAUGACAUCGCCGAAGUCGAGGAUCGGUAGGAUGGUCAGUUUUACGAGGGUAUGUUUGGCAGCAUGAGUGAAAGAUGCUUUGUUGCGAAAUAGGAAGCCAAUUCUAGAUUUAACUCUGGAUUGGAGAUGUUUGAUGUGAGUCUGGAAGGAGAGUUUAGUCUAACCAGACACCUAGGUAUUUGUAGUUGUCCACAUAUUCUAAGUCAGAACCGUCCAGAGUAGUGAUGCUGGACGGGCGGGUAGGUGCAGGCAGCGAUCGGUUGAAGAGCAUGCAUUUAGUUUUACUUGUAUUUAAGAGCAGUUGGAGGCCACGGAAGGAGAGUUGUAUGGCAUUGAAGCUCGUCUGGAGGGUAGUUAACACAGUGUCCAAAGAAGGGCCAGAAGUAUACAGAAUGGUGUCGUCUGCAUAGAGGUGGAUCAGAGACUCACCAGCAGCAAGAGCGACAUCAUUGAUGUAUACAGAGAAAAGAGUCGGCCCAAGAAUUGAACCCUGUGGCACUCCCAUAGAGACUGCCAGUGGCCCGGACAACUGGCCCUCCGAUUUGACACACUGAACUUUAUCAGAGAAGUAGUUGGUGAACCAGACGAGGCAGUCAUUAGAGAAACCAAGGCUGCUGAGUCUGCCGAUGAGGAUGUGGUGAUUGACAGAGUCGAAAGCCUUCGCCAGGUCAAUGAAUACGGCUGCACAGUACUGUUUCUUAGGACCUUGAGCGUGGCUGAGGUGCACCCAUGACCAGCUCUGAAACCAGAUUGCAUAGC
RNAcentral lists this long non-coding RNA (4742 nucleotides) under Salmo salar (Atlantic salmon). RNAcentral's name for it is "lncRNA (ENSSSAG00000099121.1)". Lineage: Eukaryota; Metazoa; Chordata; Actinopteri; Salmoniformes; Salmonidae. The record is from RNAcentral.